This 75-nucleotide microRNA precursor is filed under the name Myotis brandtii (Brandt's bat). RNAcentral's name for it is "mir-9193 microRNA precursor family". It matches the Rfam family "mir-9193 microRNA precursor family". Lineage: Eukaryota; Metazoa; Chordata; Mammalia; Chiroptera; Vespertilionidae. The record is from Rfam by way of RNAcentral.
UUUAGGGGGGGGGGUGUCCCUCAGCCCAGAUUGCGAAAUGGUGAAGGCCAGACUGAGGGACCCCACUAGUGUAUG